GGAGGGAUCAUUAGAAUUUCUUUCUUUCCAAACAAAAGAAAGCGUGGUUUUACCAUGUCAACUUUUUUACAAUUUUACCUAAACUUUACAUUCGCAUCUCUCAACAAGAUAACAAUGACUUACAAUCAAAACAAACAAACAAAACAACAAAACACGACUCGCAACAACGGAUAUCUUGGUUCUCGCAACGAUGAAGAACGCAGCGAAAUGCGAUACGUAAUGCGAAUUGCAGAAUCCAGUGAAUCAUCAAAUGUUUGAACGCACAUGGCGCCCCUCCGCGUAGGAGAGGCACGUCUUCAUGAGCGGCGUUUUAACCAUUUCCCACUUUGCUGUGGGAGAAAUGCGGGUGCUCUUGCGCAAGCGAGAGCCUCCGUGAAAUCCAGAGGGCUCUUUUCUACUCGAAUCAACUUUUCUGCUUCGUCACAACGAACGGGGUGAUUCGGAUGCAACAGCCGAUUCCAACGGAUACUGCCUGUCAAAGGCUUUCUGCUGGUUUCCUGGUCUUUGUUGUGCCGAUCUUCCGCUCGACGAGCAACCAAUCCGAAUCUCUUUUUUUUAAGAGAAGAAAAAUCCCACCGACACCCAUUCUCUACGCGUUCUGGCUUCAAAACCCAAAACGCAGAGCAAACCUUACUAAAGCCCUCAUGUGAAACGAGAGAACCCGCUGAACUUAAGCAUAUUAUUAAGCGGAGGAAAGGAAACUAACAAGGAUUCCCUCAGUAACGGCGAGUGAAGCGGGAAGAGCUCAAGUCGAAAAUCCUUGCUCCAAGCGGGGCAAGGAGUUGUGGCCUCGAGACCCUUUGUCAUGGCGCAGGCAACUGCAUCUCCAGAGAUAAGUCCCUUGGAACAGGGCAUCAGAGAGGGUGAGAAUCCCGUUCAUUCUCUGGAGGGAGACCGGUACGACAAGGGUUCCCAGAGUCGCGUUGCUUGGGAGUGCAGCGCAAAGAGGGUCGUACACGUGAUCCAAAGCUAAAUACUGGCGAGAGACCGAUAGUGAACAAGUACCGUGAGGGAAAGAUGAAAAGCACUUGGAAACGAGAGUGAAAAAGAGCUUGAAAUUGUUGCGAGGUAAGCACUGGUGAAGGUUUAUUUGCGACGUUUGCGCUUUGGAGGGAGUUUCGAGCCGAUGGCGAAUGGGUCGAGUCCUGUCAAGGGGCCGGCCGGUUGCUUCGAGCGCGGAGUUCUAGAGAACGCGCAGGCGGAGCCGUCUGCAUUGUUUUGGUACCUCAGGUCUGAGUAGGUACGGGCGCAGGUAGCGAGGCGACGACGACAAGUCGAGCCGCUCUCGAAGUCUAUAGCACCCGUAUUCGACAGACCGACCGGAACAAUUUGAGAAGGGCGUGGAGAGAAAGGUGAGGGAUUGGGGUGCGUGGCGUGCGGAGGUCUGGAUGUUCAAUGAUCAGCCAGGCGCCGUCAUGUCGCUCCCGCUUCGACCCUAGGCCAAUUCCUCCAUCGCCAACAUUCCCCCGCGGACGCAAGUGUUUCUUGUCGGCUCGUCCGACAAGGAAACAAGCCCACCAAUGACCCGUCUUGAAACACGGACCAAGGAGUCCAACGUGUGUGCGAGUAUUUGCCUGGUUCAAGGGCGGAUGCGCAGUGAAAGCAAAGGACAACCCUCGCGGAUGUCUGAGGUGUGAAGCUUGUUCGCCCACAAGGCGGGCAGGACGCAACAUCGGCCGGCCCCGGUGUUUUUGGGGACUGAGCACGAGCACCCAUGUUGGGACCCGAAAGAUGGUGAUCUAUGCCUGAGCAGGGCGAAGCCAGGGGAAACUCUGGUGGAGGCUCGCAGCGAUACUGACGUGCAAAUCGUUCGUCGGAUUUGGGUAUAGGGGCGAAAGACUAAUCGAACCAUCUAGUAGCUGGUUCCCUC
This 1870-nucleotide unclassified non-coding RNA is filed under the name uncultured fungus. Its description in RNAcentral is "sequence contains 18S rRNA gene, ITS1, 5.8S rRNA gene, ITS2, 28S rRNA gene". The stretch from base 638 to 1870 matches the Rfam family "Eukaryotic large subunit ribosomal RNA", at positions 1 to 961 of the family's 3401-position model. Lineage: Eukaryota; Fungi. The record is from RNAcentral.